AUUUAAUUGAGUAGCAGAUAUUAAUGAUGGAAAAUUAGAAAUCAAUAUAACAGUUGAAGGCCGGACUCCUGAAAGUGAAUUGAACAGCAGGAGCAAUGCAGCUACUCCAGCAGGAAGACAAAGGGCUAACUCUACGGUUUCACUUUGCACUCUGAAUGGGACAACUUAAUCAGGAAGACUCCUGACAGUAGAAAACAGAGCAAGGAAGAGGUGGACACUAAUUAGUUGAAGACUUGUGCCCUGAG
This is a non-coding RNA of Cricetulus griseus (Chinese hamster), 245 nucleotides long. NCBI's taxonomy places the organism in Eukaryota, Metazoa, Chordata, Mammalia, Rodentia, Cricetidae. The record is from RefSeq and is a predicted model, not a curated record.